CAGCAGCCGCGGUAAUACGUAGGUGGCAAGCGUUAUCCGGAAUUAUUGGGCGUAAAGCGCGCGUAGGCGGUUUUUUAAGUCUGAUGUGAAAGCCCACGGCUCAACCGUGGAGGGUCAUUGGAAACUGGAAAACUUGAGUGCAGAAGAGGAAAGUGGAAUUCCAUGUGUAGCGGUGAAAUGCGCAGAGAUAUGGAGGAACACCAGUGGCGAAGGCGGCUUUCUGGUCUGCAACUGACGCUGAUGUGCGAAAGCGUGGGGAUCAAACAGGAUUAGAUACCCGGGUAGUCCCUGUCUCUUAUAC
This 301-nucleotide ribosomal RNA is filed under the name uncultured bacterium. RNAcentral describes it as "partial 16S ribosomal RNA". It matches the Rfam family "Bacterial small subunit ribosomal RNA", at positions 509 to 807 of the family's 1533-position model. The record is from RNAcentral.